This is a non-coding RNA of Bos taurus (domestic cattle), 73 nucleotides long. The record is from Rfam. NCBI's taxonomy places the organism in Eukaryota, Metazoa, Chordata, Mammalia, Artiodactyla, Bovidae.
UCCCUGGUGGUUCAGUGGUUAAGACUCCGUGCUUCCAAUGCAGGGGACAUGGGUUCAACCCCCAGUCAGGGAA